RNAcentral lists this transfer RNA (94 nucleotides) under Asanoa siamensis. RNAcentral's name for it is "tRNA-Pro". Lineage: Bacteria; Bacillati; Actinomycetota; Actinomycetes; Micromonosporales; Micromonosporaceae. The record is from RNAcentral.
CCGGUGGGCAGCACCCGGGUGCCGAGCCACGCUGGGGCCGGGGUGGCGGUCCCGGCGGUCGGGGUCGGCGCCGUCGGACUCGGCGCCGUCGGAC